Molecule: long non-coding RNA, 593 nt
Organism: Orussus abietinus
Lineage: Eukaryota; Metazoa; Arthropoda; Insecta; Hymenoptera; Orussidae
Exons: 7
Source: RefSeq, a predicted model, not a curated record
GACCAUUUCAUUUGCUGACGUCGAGGAGAACGGAGGCAGGCGAGGGAGAGUAGUCGACUAUUCUCGACUUGACAAUGGAAAUGCUCAAAUCAUGGCAACAACUGCUCAAGCAGGAGUUAAUUUCAUUUAUGGAUUCACAUGGCUGGUAUACAGACGUCUAUACAUGACGUAAGAUGACCAAAAUGUAUACCGAGUAUUAUAUCUGUUAUACUGAUGGAUAGAUGUAUAUCUGAUAAAGAAAUGCAUAUUUCUUGGAACGGUUUGGAUGUGCGAGAGCAUUCAAAUUCAAGGAUGACGGAACAAAAUUUAGGUUUCUCCUAACAUAAGUCGUUAACCAGCCAUGAUGAGGUGCCGUUGAAGUACUUCCUAGUAAGCCAGAUGAUACAAAAUCUGAUAAAUCAGUGAUUCUGGACAAUUCUGUGAAACUUUGUCACCUAGCAUCAUCUUUUAAUACAGAUACUCAAGAUGAAUUGAUUGUGUAAAAGUCAUUUGUUGAACGAUGUCGUAUGGUAUCUUCUGUAUUAAAAUGUAAGAUGUACAAAAUAUAGAUUGUAUUAAAAAUCUUGUUUUAUUAUGGUAAUACCAUGUUCGUU